Molecule: ribosomal RNA, 483 nt
Filed under: uncultured bacterium
Lineage: Bacteria
Description: partial 16S ribosomal RNA
Rfam family: Bacterial small subunit ribosomal RNA
Source: RNAcentral
AUUGAACGCUGGCGGCAUGCUUUACACAUGCAAGUCGAACGGCAGCGCGGGCUUCGGCCUGGCGGCGAGUGACGAACGGGUGAGUAAUACAUCGGAACGUGCCCAGUAGUGGGGGAUAGCUCGGCGAAAGCCGGAUUAAUACCGCAUACUACCUGAGGGUGAAAGCGGGGGGUCUUCGGACCUCGCGCUCUUGGAGCGGCGGAUGGCAGAGUAGCUAGUUGGUGGGGUAAAGGCCUACCAAGGAGGCGAUCUGUAGCUGGUCUGAGAGGACGACCAGCCACAGUGGGGCUGACACGCGGCCCAGGGUCCUACGGGAGGCAGCAGGGGGGAAGUUUGGACAAAGGGCGAAAGCCUGAUCCAGCGAUGCCGCGUGUGUGAUGAAGGCCUGCGGGUUGUAAAGCACUUUUGGCGGGAACGAAAAGGACUGUGCCAAUACCACGGUGCGAUGACGGUACCCGCAGAAUAAGCACCGGCUAACUACGG